AUUGAACGCUGGCGGCGUGCUUAACACAUGCAAGUCGAACGUGAAAGUCCUUCGGGGCGAGUAAAGUGGCGCACGGGUGAGUAACGCGUGGAUAAUCUACCCUUAAGAUGGGGAUAACGGCUGGAAACGGUCGCUAAUACCGAAUACGCUCCCGAUUUUAUCAUUGGGGGGAAAGAUGGCCUCUGCUUGCAAGCUAUCGCUUAAGGAUGAGUCCGCGUCCCAUUAGCUAGUUGGCGGGGUAACGGCCCACCAAGGCAACGAUGGGUAGCCGGUCUGAGAGGAUGACCGGCCACACUGGAACUGGAACACGGUCCAGACUCCUACGGGAGGCAGCAGUGGGGAAUAUUGCGCAAUGGGCGAAAGCCUGACGCAGCGACGCCGCGUGAGGGAUGAAGGUUCUCGGAUCGUAAACCUCUGUCAGGGGGGAAGAAACCCCCUCGUGUGAAUAAUGCGAGGGCUUGACGGUACCCCCAAAGGAAGCACCGGCUAACUCCGUGCCAGCAGCCGCGGUAAUACGGAGGGUGCAAGCGUUAAUCGGAAUCACUGGGCGUAAAGCGCACGUAGGCGGCUUGGUAAGUCAGGGGUGAAAUCCCACAGCCCAACUGUGGAACUGCCUUUGAUACUGCCAGGCUUGAGUACCGGAGAGGGUGGCGGAAUUCCAGGUGUAGGAGUGAAAUCCGUAGAUAUCUGGAGGAACACCGGUGGCGAAGGCGGCCACCUGGACGGUAACUGACGCUGAGGUGCGAAAGCGUGGGUAGC
Molecule: ribosomal RNA, 759 nt
Filed under: uncultured bacterium
Lineage: Bacteria
Description: bacterial SSU rRNA
Rfam family: Bacterial small subunit ribosomal RNA
Source: RNAcentral